Non-coding RNA from Zootermopsis nevadensis, 1794 nucleotides. Lineage: Eukaryota; Metazoa; Arthropoda; Insecta; Blattodea; Termopsidae. The record is from RefSeq and is a predicted model, not a curated record.
ACACGAUUGGUUUUUAACGACAAAAUGUCAGUGUUUUAAUUUAAUUUGCAUUUAAAUUGGUGUUCCUGUUGAAUACCAGGGUGGUAUUUGUGAAUGAGCAAGGUUAACAGUUGUGGAUUCAUAACCUUAAAACUUCCUAAUUUUCAUCAAGCCUGUCCUGUUCUUCCUGAUGCUUCCAACGAUUCUGUACGAAUCUUUACAAUUUGGUGACUAAUUGCAUGAGGUAAGUUAAAAUGGUGUGUGUUACUAGUAAGUCAAUAUGUGUGAAAUUCCAACUUAAUGGCAGGUUAGGUGAGUUAGUUCAAUUGAAAAAGUUUGAUAGGCUUACAAAAAGUAAAUAAACCUCAAAAACAAGAACGGGUAAACGUGGUCAUUAACUGCAAGAAUAUUUCUGAUAUUUCUUUCAUACUCUUUAAGAUAUUUACAAGUUGUCUUGGACCCAAAAUUCAAAAGCUAUGGUUGGCAAAGGAAUAAACCAACCAGUGAAUCGGAAUGCAGGAUGCGAGUGAUAGCAAGGGAAUGAAGGAAGCUGAUGGUCAUACUCAUACAAGAGGCAUAUAGUAUAUUCGUUGCAAGGCUGUUAUACUUUUAUCCGCAUUAAUGAGAUGAAAAGGGAAAUACACAUCUUUACGUGGGGCACUGAAAUGGUAGAGUAGUGUCUUCCCACACGUUUUUGGAAUCGACUAGGCUUCAAAAUAUUUCUUUGUACGUCAAGAGUCCGUUCGACUCUAUCACGGAGAUAUUUAGUGACUUCGUAAUAGAUAGAGACGAAAAUCUUGGUGGCUUUGGUUGCUCUCCUCUGAGUUGUAGCGCCGUGCAGUGUGGAAGAAGCUAUACCAAGGUAUAAGUGGUCCUAGCUGCCUUCAUCAUCGCCUUGUUCGUAAAGGCAGCAAGGACAUAUGAAAUCUUGGUAAACCCGCGAACCCAGCGUUUUGAAAUCGUAAUACCCAACUUAGUGUCUUACGUUGGCAAUAGUAUCCUGCCACACUGCUGACUGUUUCCGAGAGCACUCUGGUGGCAAGAACAGUUGGAAACACCUGCUAUUUGGCCCAACCAUUUAGUUUAGCUGCUUCUCUGCAGCCAUUACGGUGCUUUGGAGAUUUCUAACCUAACUGUUAAAGUUUAAGGCAUUUUCUGCUGUCUUUCUGCCUUCUUUAAUUCUGUGUUUGAAUUUGAAGAGAAUAUAAAAGACAGCUUCAGCUAAACUCUCGCCUUUUCUUUUUUUUUUACCUUUCCCUCCCUCCCGUGUCGUGGUGAUAGAGCAGUAUUCGAACUUCGUGUUAGUUUACUAGCUCUCACCCAGAGUAAAUUGCUCGACCUGCAAACGCGCCUGAUUCUUUCCAUAAUCUGGUGCUAAGGAAGAGCAUACACACCCAUUCUCUUAUUUUUAUAUGUGUUGUAUUUAUGUGCAUUAUGUAUAUGUGUUGUAUUUAUGUGCAUUAUGUAUUUGCCAGUAAAAUGUAACAAUUUAAUCAAAGCAAGGAAGUUCGUUACUGCCACUAAAGUUUGUGUGUUAUAUUAAAGCCAAAUAACUUUGAGAGAAACUGCUCCAGUGCCACUUUGCCUACCACAAAUCUCCAGGAUGAUCUGACAUGCGACUGGUAUGAGAGCCAAGACAAAGUUUUUUCAAUGAUAAAACCUUGCACAUUCUCUGGAUGAUGCUAAAUUCUUAAUCCACUUUCAAAGCAAUAGCAUAAAAUAAGUAUAGAUAUGCAAUGAGUACACCAAACUAGACGUCUGUUUUCAGAUCAUAUCAUGUAUUGAAACCUUAUUAAAUAAAUAUGAAAAGGGUAA